Molecule: non-coding RNA, 24 nt
Filed under: Arabidopsis thaliana (thale cress)
Lineage: Eukaryota; Viridiplantae; Streptophyta; Magnoliopsida; Brassicales; Brassicaceae
Source: RNAcentral
UAGCAGCUUCACUACCUUCUCUCC